This 6108-nucleotide long non-coding RNA is filed under the name Zostera marina. RNAcentral describes it as "long non-coding RNA (ZMAR_LNC000180)". Lineage: Eukaryota; Viridiplantae; Streptophyta; Magnoliopsida; Alismatales; Zosteraceae. The record is from RNAcentral.
AGGUUUUGUGGGUGUACAGAAGAUUUUUUUUGUGUUUCCGUCAGAGAGGUUACUUCUUCAAUGGAUUGGGGAACUCCUUGUGUAUUAGUUGGAGGUUUGUUUUGACUUAAUUCUUUUUCUGCAAAUGUUUGUAUUUGCUUAGGAGAUUCUAGGUUGGGAAAGGGUAACACAGGUGAAUUUACAAUAAGUGAGUUUAUUGUUUCAUCCAAAGAACUCUCUGUGUAAUCUGAAACAUUUGGUUCCUUCUUGGGUGUUUCAAGCAAUUUUUCGGAGAGUUUGUGGUUUUCAUCUUUUGGCGUGGAUAAAUAUGGUUUAGGGAUGUUAGAACUUUUUAUAUUUUCUUUGGGCCCUUGUGGUGGGUUUGAACGUUCUUCUGGUUGAGUAUUGUUAAUGGGAGUUGAAAUUUGUUUGUCCUCAUUGAAAUUUUUUGUAUAUAUAAAUGGUUUUGAUGUGUAUGCCAUUGAAUUAAGUUUUUGUUCAAAGGGUUGAGGAUCUUCUUGUCUAAAAUGAGCUUCCAUUUUAGUUGGUUCAGAUGGAGAUUGACCAAAUACUUUUUCUAUAGUUGUUUGUACAUUUUUAGGAGGAUCGGAUUGAAAAGUUGAUAUUGGAGUCGGUUUCAUGGUAUCUAAGGUUUGUACUUGUUGGAAGGGUUGAGACCCUUCCUGUAUCAAAGAAGGUUUUGCCUGAUCUUUUUGAGAAGAAGAUUCAUCAAGUAUUUCUUCUAUCAGUUCUGCUUUGGAUGUGAGUGAGUGACUUAAUUUCAUUGUUGAAGAAAUGAUUUCAUCUGCAGAACUUUUCAAAAUCCUUUGAACUUGUUGUUUCUGCAUGUAUGGUUCAGUUGAUGGUUUGCUGAAUUGAUUAGGUUCGUCAUCUAGUUCGGGUAAAAAGGACGGUUGGCUAGUGUUUGAUUCUUCCUUUUUAUAAAAGUUCUUAAGUUUAGAAGGUUCAGAUUUAAUGUCGGUUGGGUCAAUACCUGCUUCAGUACUGGGGACAAUUAUUGAUUGUGGAGUUGAGACUUCCUUCUUCUCUAGGGGUUCUUCUUCAGGUUUAGGAAUUCCUGAUUGGGUAGCUAUCGGGGAAAUCUGUACUCGUUGGAGGGGCUGGAACCUUUCCUGAUUCAAAGGGGUUUCUGCUUGAUUCUGCUGAGAAGCAGCUUCACCAAGAAUUUCUUGUAUUGGUGUUUUCAUUUGUGUUUUUUUAGAUAGGGGUAGUGUUUCCAAAGUAUUUUUCGGCAUUUUGGAGACAUCUUGUUCAACUGGGAUUGAGUCCUUAUCCAAUUUAGAUGGUUUGAUGGUUUGUUUUUGAAGUGCUGAAGUUUUUUUCUCUAUGAAACUUUGAACAGGUUGUGGAUUUUCUUGUUGGUUACUCAAGAAAGUUGACAAUUCCGAUGGUGAAUUAACCUCUUUUUGAGUAUAUUGAAGAGUGGAAUCAAGAAAGUUUGUGGCUUCUUUUUCUUCCAUUUUUCUAUCUACAGAUUUCACACCUUGUGGUAAAUCACUAAGUGCAUUGGUUGCUUCUGACAUCACUUUGGUUUCUUUUAGGGGUUCUUGUAAUCUUGGGUUUUGAAAAUCCUGGUUUAUUAAUGGUUCUGAAAUCUUAAGUGUCUCUGGAUGAGACAUUUGUGAAAAAUCAUUUAUUAAGGGUUGAUUUGCUCUAUCCUCCUGUAUUGCUAAUGUGGGUGGUUUACCAGUCUUCGAUCCUUCUCCCUUUUCAUCAGUUCCUUUUAUAUCUUUAGAAGAUCCAGAUUUAAUAUUCAUUGGGUAAAUUUCUGGUUGAGUUUUCCGAAUAAGAAUUGAUUGUGGAGUUGAGGUUUCGUUCUUCUCCAUAGAUUCUUCUGCAUUUGUAGGGAAUCCUGGUGAUGUGUCUAUCAGUGAGCUCUGUACUUUUUGGAGGGGUUGGAAUAAUUUCUUGGUCAAAGGAAUUUCUGUUUGAUCCUGUCGAUAAACAGAUUCACCAUGUAUUUCUUCUACAGGUUUUUCUGCUUGCUUAAAAGGUUCUGAUUGGGAUGUGGGUAAAUGACUUGGUUUCAUUGUAGAAGAACUUAUUGUAUAUUCAUCCAACCUCUCCGUAUCCUUUGGAACUUGUUGCAUUUGCUUGUACGAAUCACUUGCUGGUUUGAAGUGUGGUUGAUUAGCUCCAUCAUUUGGUGUGAGUAAAAAAGGUAAUCUAGUCUUUUCUAAUUUUUCUCCAUUUUCAUUGGUUCCAGUUAUAGCUUUUGAAGGCUUAGAAUUAAUAUUCAUCAGGUUUAUCUCAGGUUGAGUAGUGGGAAUGAUAAUUGAAUCUAGAGUGGAUGUUUCCUUCUUCUCUAGGGGUUCUUGUGCAGGUUUUAGAUAUCUGUUAUCUAUCGGUAAACUUUUUUUUUGUUGGAGUUGAAAUCCUUCCUGAAUCAAAGGAGCUUCUGUUUGAUAAGAAGAUUCACCAAGUAUUCCUUCUACCGGUGUUUGUGCUUGCCGAGAUAAUUCUGUUUGGGAUGUGGGUAAGUGACUUGAUUUCAUUGCAGUAGAAAUGAUUUCAUCUACAGAGCUUUUCACAAUCCUUUCAUCUUGUUGUUUCUGCAUGUAUGAUUCAGUUGAUGGUUUGAUGGAUUGAUUAGUUCCGUCAUCUAGCUCAUCAGGUAAAAGAGGUGGUUGUCUAGUGUUUGAUUCUUUCUUUUUAUAAAACUUCUUAAGUUUAAAAGGUUCAGAUAUAACGUCGAUUGGAUAAAUACCUGCUUCAGUACUGGGUAUAAUUAUUGAUUGUGGAGUUGAGGCUUCCUUCUUCUCUAGGGGUUCUUCUACAGGUUUAGGAAAUCCUGAUUGGGUAUCUAUCGGGGAAAUCUUUACUCGUUGGAGGGGUUGGAGCCUUUCCUGAUUCAAAGAGGUUUCUGCUUGAUUGUGCUCAGAAGCAGCUUCACCAAGCAUUUCUUGUAUUGGUGUCUUCAUUUGUGUUUGUUUAGAUGGUUCUUCUUGGGAUGUGGGUAUGGGACUUGGUUUCAUUGUUGAAGAAAAGGUUUCUUCUACAGAACUUUUCACAAUCUCUUGACCUUUAUGUUUCUGCAUGUCUGAAUCAUUUGAUAGUUUGAAUGAUUGAUUAGCUCUGACAUCUUGCGUAGGUAAAAGGGGCGGUUGGUUAUUGUUUAAUUCUUCCCUUUUGUCAAACUUUGUAAGUUUAGAAGGUUCGGAUUUAAUGUCAGAUGUGUCGAUAUCUGCUCCAGUACUGGGAAUAAUUAAUGAUUGUGAAGUUGAGACUCUCUUCUUAUCUAGGGAUUCUUGUGAUGGUUUGAAGGAGUGUAUAGCUUCAUUUUCAGGUGUUGGUAAAAGAGGUAGUUCACUAGUGUUUGGAUCUUCCUUCUUUUCAUCAAGUGGUUUGGGAGAUCGAGGAGAUUUUGCUUGUGUAGGUAGUGGUAGUUUUUCCGAUGUAUUUUUCAGAGGUCGGGGGACGUCUUGUUCAACUGAUAUUGAAUCCUUUGGUAAUUUAGAUGGAUCGAUGAUUUGUUUUGGAGGGGUUGAACUUUUUUUCUCUGUGAAACUUUGAACAAGUUGUGAACUUUCUGGUUGUUUACCCAUGAAAGUUGGUAAUUUCGAUGGUAAAAUAACUUCUUUUUGCGUAGAUUGAAGAUUAGAAUCAAGAAAGUAUGUGGUCUCUUUCUCUUCCAUUUGUCUUUCUGCAGAUUUCACAUCUUUUGGUAAAUCUCUAAGUGUAUUGGUUUCUCCUGGCAUUACUUGGGUUUCUUUUACUGGUUCUUGUGAUUUUGAAUUUUGAAAUUUCUGGUCUAUUGGCGGUUCUGAAAUCUUAAGGGUGUCUGGGUGACUCAUUUGUGAAGAUGUAUUCAUCGAAGGAUCAAGUGGCUUCUGAUGGAUGGUUUUUGCUUUUGAUUCAGAUACAUUAGUAUUUUCCAAUAUAAAAUCAUUUUUCUUUUUUUCAAGGUAGUAUGAGAAUUCAGUAUCUUUUGAAUCUUGAUCUGAAAGAUCAUUUUGUGGCUGAGGUUGUAUGUCUGGGUAAUGCAAUGAUUCCUGAGUUUCUGAUUCAACUGAUUUGGGCACUUUCUUAAAAAGAACUAAUUGAGAGGCUACAGGAAGAGUUUUUCUUUCUCUCUUUUCCUGGGAUCCGUCUGACACUGGUUUAUCUUGUGGAUUCUUAUCAUUCAAGUUCGUUCCAUUUUCCUCAGUAUCCUGUGACAUUGGAGUCUCUGUUUCACUCAGCUUUGGAUCAAACUCGGUCAUUUUAUCUAAAUAUUCUAUGGACUGGGUAUCUUUUGAUUCGUGAUAUUGGAUUCCAAUUUUUGUUUGAGAUGAUCGAAGAUCCUUGGAUUGGGAAUCUGGAUCAAAAGGUCGAAAAAGAUUCUGAGUGAAUUCUUUUUCGCUUUCUUUUUGUCCAUUCUGCAAGGGUUCUAAUUUAUGUGUUUGUGAAUCUAAUGAUUGUUCAAAAGGCUCUAUAUUUUUUAGUUCAGGCUUUUGAAAUUCUAUUCCUUGAGCAUUUCUGAUAAGUUGUGGCUGGUCAUAACCAUGAUCAUCUGAUUCAUUGAUGCUUCCAAUAAAUUGUUCUAUGUUUCCUUGUGAGGGUUGUGGAGAUUCUAUCUUGUGAUAGGGUGUGUCUGAAGAUAGAUAUUUAUGAGGAUCUACAACAGUUGGUUGUUGAGAUGGAGUAAUUUUCUUUUGAAAUACAUGUUGGGGAGAUGUCUUGAUGGAUAUUGGGAAUUCAUUAGUUUCUUGCGUUGGAAACUUUGGUUUAGUUGUCGGAGUUGUUUCUUCAGGAAUAACAGGUGUUAUCUUUUCCCCAUUCUGCAUUGAAGGAUUUGAGAAUGGUUGGGGAUUCAACAAAAUUGGUAAUUUUGUCGAAAUAACUUUCUUAUGAGUCGGAUCAACAAAGUCUGUAGCAUUUUUUUCUUGUCCAAAAACUUGUGCAGUUUUUCUUUCAUGAUUAUAUAGUUCAAAGUGAGUUGUUUCAGCUAAUGUUUCCAAUGAUUUUUGUUCAGGAACAGAUAGCGAUUGGCUAGUAGGUUCAAGGCUAGCUGUUUCUGGAGAUUUCGGCUUAUCAAAAAAAUUAUUUUCCUUUGAUUCUUCUACAAGAUAAGAUUUAUCUUGUGCUGGUAAUUUUAUCUUACUAGAUGGUUUAUAUAGCCUAUUAUCUUCUUGAUGUAUAAACUUAGGUUUAUCUAGUUUGAAGGGUUCUAGGUUACCAUGUGAAUGUUGUGAAGGCUCUAGUUCAUGAGGGUCACUUUUGUAUGAUUUUUCAUGGGGUCUACGAGCAUCUAAUUCAUGAGCUUGGGAUUCAAGUAGUUCAUCUUCUAUCUGAAGAUACUCUAAUUGAGUAAGUUUAUGGGAAGCUGUUAAAUCCUGAAGAAUUAAGUUCUCUCUCUUUUUCUCAGAUUCUUGAGAUGGUGGUUGGUCUAUUGAUUUUUGAUGGCUUAUUUCAACUGUUGGUUCAGAAAAGUUUGAAUCUUCUUCAGAUAUAACUGAAGGAAUGGUUGUUCCUAAAGGAUAAAGAUCAUCUACAUUAUUUUUGUUUAUAUAUUUUAUAAUUUGGAUAUCUUCCGAAUCAAUGUCUUGAAUAUCAUUUUUUAUUUCAGAAGACUGGAGAUAUGCUUUAGAUUUUGGUUCAGGAGAAUUAAGUGAUUGAUUGAGGGGUUCUGAGAGGGUAUUCUUAAGCAGAAAAUGUUCAGGAGGGCUUAGGUCUGCUCUUUUUUCUUUGCUAUCUUGUGAUAGAAAAGGAUCGAGUGGCUUACACUCACUUGUUCUAUCUUUGUGUUUAUGUAUCUUUGAAUUUUCUUCUUUUGGUAAAUUUAAAUAAGAAAUCAUCCCAGGUUCUUCUGAUAUAAACUCAUUCUUCUUUUUCAUCAGAUUGUCUGUGAUUUCAGUAUUUUCUGCAUUAGGAUAAGUAAGAUCGUUUUUUGCUUUAGGAGAUUGAAGGGCAUUUAGUUGUUUUGAUGGUGUGUUGGUUUCUAAUUCAACUGGUGCAGGUAAUGGUUUAGAAGAUUCUAACUGGGCACUCUUAGAGAGAUAGGUGGACUGUGAAAGAUUACGAUUUUCUUUCUUUUCCAUGUAAUUCUGGGAAAAUUGAUUGUCUUGUGCUUUCUUAUGACCAAAUUUCUCUUUUUUCUCUCCAGAAUCACGUCUAAAGACAUGCACA